Molecule: non-coding RNA, 80 nt
Organism: Camponotus floridanus (Florida carpenter ant)
Lineage: Eukaryota; Metazoa; Arthropoda; Insecta; Hymenoptera; Formicidae
Source: Rfam
CUGGACGUUAAGGAGGCAAGAUGUCGGCAUAGCUGAUAUUGUUUGAAAUUCGGCUGUGUCACAUCCAGCCAACCAAACGG